GCAUCACAGGCACUUGUCUCAGAAAAAAAAUUCCUAUAUACCUUAAUAUGUUAUAUAAAGGUAUAUAGGGGGGAAAAUUCUGAGACGAGUGCCUGUGGUCUGCAUAUAUUAAUCCAUAAAAUAUUUAAAACUUUUUAUAAACAUCUUUUGGCUUUAAUAUAUGUUAUGGAUGAAAACUAAUAAAAAUUUGAUAUUUUAACAAGCUGCAGUUAAAAGGAGGUCUUUAAUUUUCAUAUCGCUUUGCAUAUCUUUCAUCAAUAUUUGGUGUAUCUCAAGUAGCGUUCUUUUAAGGACGUUAUGAUAUUAUCAUAUAAUGUAUUGAGUUGAAGUUGCAUAAUGUUUGUUUUUUAACUUCUUUUACGCAAGAACAGAUGUAAACUUUCUGACAAGGACAGUGCAGUGUAAUAACUUUGUGUCUCCCCUUUAUAGUAGUAACUCGUCGUUUCAGAAUCUAAUGCAUCCUGUGUAAUAUUUUCAAAAGUGUACACCAAAACGUCCUGAUUGGUUAACAAUGUCAUAAACAAUGGAAAUUUAACCAAUGAUGUGACGUUAUUUUCAUUUUGAGUACGAGCAAUGAAAUUACAUAUGAUUCUUUAAAUUCUGAAAUGGCCAAUUGCUGUCUCACCUCUAUAACUUUUAAUCAAAUUUAAAACAUCAACAAGUCCACUUUAUCGAUAACUAUGUGUUUUGUUUUCUUAAAAUCUAGAUACUCGUACUAAGUAUUUAUUUUAACG
Molecule: long non-coding RNA, 734 nt
Filed under: Mytilus galloprovincialis (Mediterranean mussel)
Lineage: Eukaryota; Metazoa; Mollusca; Bivalvia; Mytilida; Mytilidae
Source: RNAcentral